GAGCCGACCUUGAAAUACCACCCUUUAAUGUUUGAUGUUCUAACGUGGACCCGUAAUCCGGGUUGCGGACAGUGUCUGGUGGGUAGUUUGACUGGGGCGGUCUCCUCCUAAAGAGUAACGGAGGAGCACGAAGGUUGGCUAAUCCUGGUCGGACAUCAGGAGGUUAGUGCAAUGGCAUAAGCCAGCUUGACUGCGAGCGUGACGGCGCGAGCAGGUGCGAAAGCAGGUCAUAGUGAUCCGGUGGUUCUGAAUGGAAGGGCCAUCGCUCAACGGAUAAAAGGUACUCCGGGGAUAACAGGCUGAUACCGCCCAAGAGUUCAUAUCGACGGCGGUGUUUGGCACCUCGAUGUCGGCUCAUCACAUCCUGGGGCUGAAGUAGGUCCCAAGGGUAUGGCUGUUCGCCAUUUAAAGUGGUACGCGAGCUGGGUUUAGAACGUCGUGAGACAGUUCGGUCCCUAUCUGCCGUGGGCGCUGGAGAACUGAGGGGGGCUGCUCCUAGUACGAGAGGACCGGAGUGGACGCAUCACUGGUGUUCGGGUUGUCAUGCCAAUGGCACUGCCCGGUAGCUAAAUGCGGAAGAGAUAAGUGCUGAAAGCAUCUAAGCACGAAACUUGCCCCGA
This 620-nucleotide ribosomal RNA is filed under the name Salmonella enterica. RNAcentral's name for it is "partial 23S ribosomal RNA". It matches the Rfam family "Bacterial large subunit ribosomal RNA", at positions 2183 to 2802 of the family's 2925-position model. RNAcentral also lists the same sequence under 1 other name. The record is from RNAcentral. Lineage: Bacteria; Pseudomonadati; Pseudomonadota; Gammaproteobacteria; Enterobacterales; Enterobacteriaceae.